This 467-nucleotide ribosomal RNA is filed under the name uncultured bacterium. Its description in RNAcentral is "partial 16S ribosomal RNA". It matches the Rfam family "Bacterial small subunit ribosomal RNA", at positions 28 to 506 of the family's 1533-position model. The record is from RNAcentral.
GACGAACGCUGGCGGCGUGCUUAACACAUGCAAGUCGAACGGAAAGGCCCUGCUUUUGUGGGGUGCUCGAGUGGCGAACGGGUGAGUAACACGUGAGUAACCUGCCCUUGACUUUGGGAUAACUUCAGGAAACUGGGGCUAAUACCGGAUAGGAGCUCCUGCUGCAUGGUGGGGGUUGGAAAGUUUCGGCGGUUGGGGAUGGACUCGCGGCUUAUCAGCUUGUUGGUGGGGUAGUGGCUUACCAAGGCUUUGACGGGUAGCCGGCCUGAGAGGGUGACCGGCCAAAUGGGAACUGAGAAACGGCCCAAACUCCUACGGAAGGAAACAGUGGGGAUUAUUGAACAAUGGGCGGAGGCCUGAUGCAGCAACGCCGCGGGCGGGAUGACGGCCUUCGGGUUGUAAACCGCUUUCGCCUGUGACGAAGCGUAAGUGAGGGAAAUGGGAAAAGAGGCACCGGCUAACUACGU